GCCUGGGUGGCUCAGUCGGUUGAGCAUCUCACUUCGGCUCAGGUCGCGAUCUCACGGUUCGUAAGUUCAAGCCCUGCUUCGGGCU
Non-coding RNA from Felis catus (domestic cat), 85 nucleotides. The record is from Rfam. Lineage: Eukaryota; Metazoa; Chordata; Mammalia; Carnivora; Felidae.